Molecule: ribosomal RNA, 253 nt
Filed under: uncultured bacterium
Lineage: Bacteria
Description: partial 16S ribosomal RNA
Rfam family: Bacterial small subunit ribosomal RNA
Source: RNAcentral
UACAGAGGGUGCAAGCGUUAAUCGGAAUAACUGGGCGUAAAGGGUGCGUAGGUGGUUACUUAAGUUGGAUGUGAAAUCCCCGGGCUUAACCUGGGAACUGCAUUCAAUACUGGGUAGCUUGAGUAGAGUAGAGGGGAGUGGAAUUUCCGGUGUAGCGGUGGAAUGCGUAGAUAUCGGAAGGAACACCAGUGGCGAAGGCGGCUCCCUGGACUCAUACUGACACUGAGGCACGAAAGCGUGGGGAGCAAACAGG